UUUUUUUUUUUUUUAAGAUUUUUUUGAAUUUAUUUAUUCAUGAGAGACAGAGUGAGAGAGAGAGAGAGAGAGAGAGAGAGAAGCAGAGACACAGGCAGAGGAAGAAGCAGGCUCCAUGCAGGGAGCUCCAUGUGGGACUCGAUCCCGGGUCUCCAGGAUCAGGCCUUGGGCUGAAGGCUGCACUAAACUGCUGAGCCACCCGGGCUGCCCAAACUGGAGAGUUCUGACUGAAAAGGCAGGAGAUGGUCCCUUUCUUGUUUGCCCACAUUGUAGAUUUACCUCUGAAAAGUGCUGCCCACUGUGUGCUCUUCAAAAUGAAAAAAAAAAAAAUGACAACUAUAGUGCAAUGAAAUAAAUACAAAAGAUUAGAGAAUAGGAGUAGAUUGGGAGAAGAAAGAAACCAUGUGGCUUCUCAAUUUUUUUCAUUUUGAAAAUCACUCUUACUAGUUCUCUUUAUUAUAACCAAUACUUCUCUUUUGGUUUAAAUUACUUUAAAGUGAGGGACACCUGGGGUGGGUCAGUGGUUGAGCAACUGCCUUUGGCAUUGGGAGUGAUCCCAGGAUCCUGGGAUUGACUCUGCUGCUUCUCCCUUUGCCUGUGUCUCUGCCUCCCUGCCCCCCCCCACUCUUUCUCCCCGUCUCUCAUGAAUAAAUAAAUAAAAGCUUCAAAAAAUUAUUUUAAAGUGAGAUUCUGGCUUUGUUAAAGAAUGAAUACAAAUAGUGACUGAAACAGUCUAUCUAUAUGCCAAGCAAGCCUACUUCUUUGCUUGUUAACUUUUUCCUUUGUAGUGUUUUCUGGCACUAUUAGCUUAUUAUUAUUAUUUUUCUUGGUUUUAUGCACACUCUAAAGAUGUAUGAUGGCUGCACUUUCAACGGGGGGAGCCAAAUAUUCAACAGUUAAAAGAUGACUCUUCUAAGCAGUUGUUAUUAUAAGAUACAGUGUAAGUUAUCCUCCUAGCAUUGAUGUCAGUAACUUUGAUGUCUUGAGAUAGACCAUCCUCAGAACUCAGAAUAGAUUUCUGACAAAAUAUCUAGUGAAUAUUAUGCCAUUCUCUGACUUUGAGAAGCUUAAAAUACCGGUUGCAGUAUUAAUUUACAAAUGCAUGAAUCAACACUUGUCUUAAAUCAGAAGUAUGAAAUAUUUUUAUAGAUAAAAACUGUCAUCUAUUGAGUUUGAAAAAGUUUCUAUUAUAUAUUCAAAUACAUUGCAGAUAGUCAUUGAUAACCUGCUGCAUUUCAAGCACUGUCCAAAGCACUGGAGAUAGAAAAAUCAAUUAGAUAUAAUAACUUUCUUUGAUGAACUGUUAGUUGAAAGGAGGGGGGAAAAAGGUACAGAGAUAUGAUUACAUAAUGCUAUCUUUUUCCCAGUAAAAUACAAACUGGCUGCUCUAAGGAGAGAGAGAGACAGAAAAAGAAGGUGAGAGAGGGGGGAAAGGGGAGAUUUGGGGAGGAAGAGAGAAAGAGAGAGAGAGGGAGAGAGAAAGGGAGAGGCAGACUGACCACUUCUAUGAAUUUCUGUGCAAACCUAGCAGGAUAUUUGGAUCCAGUGGCUAAAGGAAUGGCAAAUAAAUCCAUUGAUUUACCAGGGUUGGUACACACUUCCCAUCUUUUUUGGUCAAUUUUCUAAUCAUCCAAACUUUGAAUUGAUAGAUCGUUGUCUAUAGAUUCAGAAGUACAUUGGUUUGAAUGUGAGCUUUACCGCUUCUUAAAGUUACUUGACUUUUCUAAGACUCCAUUUUCUCAUCUUUACUAUGGGGAAAGGUAGUUUUACCACGGAGUUAGAAGGUUAAGCUUCAAUGUCUGUCAUUUGCACUUUUUGUGCACAAAAUGAAAAAAAAAUUACAAAAUGCCUAGCCACAUAAAUUGUAUAAACCUUAGGUCCCACAAAACCUGGAUUUUCAGGUCUCCAAUAUAAUCAUUAAAUAUAAUUGUAUUUACUCUGAGACUUAAAUGGAAAACAUGAAAUGAUUCUAGUGCAGGACUUGAUAAACCCAGUAAUUAAUAUUAACACAUUCUCAUCUCCAUUUUACGAUAGAUUUAUUCCUCAUUGGUUAUAAAUAUCUAUCAAGGAAUACUAAAAAAUGAGAUAAAUGUGUUUUUUGAAGCAGUCCAGACAAACAAGUUAAAAUAACUAAUCUUAAUUUUUAAGACUCUCCCUCACAGAGAGAUAAUUUGACUCAAUCCUUCUCUGACCUUGUGUGAAACAUGCUCCAUAACAAACAUUUAUCUUAUUGCUCGGCAUCUCUGAAAGCAUUCUUAAUGCCAGCUCUCUCACUCACUAUUACCCUCAUGUCAGUUGUAAAUUGUCUUCCAAACACAUCUUUCCUUGUGUUUAUGAAGUAUUCUGCUGGCCUUAGAAUAUGUUACACUUAAACUGUGGUGUGACAUAACAAAUAACACUCAUAAAAUUUCAGGUGGUUUGCAAUUUUAUGCAUCUGGUACACAUGCUUCAAAAACACAAAAGAACAUGCUCAGCAAAUCUUAUGCUUCAAAACUAGAAUUAUGAUGGCUUUUCUUACAUGCUUUGCUGAAUAGAAAAGUAAAUUAUUCCACCUUUGUAUCUUUAAUAUUAAUUCAAAUGCUGUACAUUUUCCUCAUAUUUUGUAUUUACAUAUUUUAGAUCUCUACAACAUCCAUGUGAUAAAUUGGGACAGUGUCUCUACAUUUAGUCUAUACCCUGGGAAAGGAACAGACACACACAACUAAAUGUAUAGGCUUCAGAACUGCAUAGUAUUAACCUAAAAUUCCAAAGGAGAAGAAAGAAAAUAGAAUUAAAUGAACGCUCCUUUGUAAUCAGGGCAGAAAAAAGAAGGGAAGUUUUAAAAA
Molecule: long non-coding RNA, 2825 nt
Filed under: Canis lupus familiaris (dog)
Lineage: Eukaryota; Metazoa; Chordata; Mammalia; Carnivora; Canidae
Description: lncRNA (ENSCAFG00000058822.1)
Source: RNAcentral